GCGCAAGUGGCGGAAUUGGCAGACGCGCUAGGUUCAGGACCUAGUGUCCUUUUUGGACGUGGAGGUUCGAGUCCUCUCUUGCGCA
RNAcentral lists this transfer RNA (85 nucleotides) under Planctomycetota bacterium. RNAcentral describes it as "tRNA-Leu". It matches the Rfam family "tRNA". From Rfam's summary of the family: Transfer RNA (tRNA) molecules are approximately 80 nucleotides in length. Their secondary structure includes four short double-helical elements and three loops (D, anti-codon, and T loops). Lineage: Bacteria; Pseudomonadati; Planctomycetota. The record is from RNAcentral.